Felis catus (domestic cat) is the source of this 3534-nucleotide long non-coding RNA. RefSeq lists it as uncharacterized. The transcript has 3 exons. The record is from RefSeq and is a predicted model, not a curated record. Lineage: Eukaryota; Metazoa; Chordata; Mammalia; Carnivora; Felidae.
GGCUGCCCGCCGCCCUCACACCUUUGCUCUCCCGGCCGCCUGGUUUCCCCCGGCUUGGGGGGAACCCCCUGUGCAGCCGCGCUGCCAGUGUGUCCGAGAGUCCGGUGCGCUGGGACUGAGGAUGGGCGAAGGGACCUGCCCAUUUCGUUGGUGCCCGGGAGAGAAGGAGCUGCUAGGCUAGGGGUACAGGUGGGACUCGAACCCAGGUGUGUCGGCCCUUAGCUGUGGUUAUUACCCUUACUGCCAUCAGCAUACCUUCUACCUGCGGGGUCCAGGGCUUAGAGGGGGCGUGCAUUUCUUGUUUCAUUCCCCUGGCAGACCUGGGGGAUGGGUGUCUCCAGAUUGCAGCGGGGGAAACUGAGGCUCAGAGAGGCAGGGAUGGUAAGAAGCCGAAUUGCGAGACCAGAGCUUGCGUGCCUCGCCUGCAUUUACUUUGAGGGCUCAGCAGUUCAUCCGGGAGACCCAGCAGGACCCACGAGGUAACCUUCUGUGCAUAACUUGGUUGGAUGGAAUUUUCUUUUUGCCUCCCCAUCCCGUUAGUUUUUCUUCCCACGUGAGAAUUUCUGGGAGAAAAGGCAGGAUGCUUUGGUGAGAAAUGCGGCCAAAGCAAUUGAAAGUUUGUUCGGACGUCCGGUUUGAGCAUUUGGGUUUUUAGAAGGGGUGCGCAUAACCUCACAGCGUAAUCAGGGGCGAUCCGGUUUAUGCUGUUGCUCUGAUGUAGUUAUUAAUAAAAGCUCCUUUUUUGACUCCCAAGGGUCAAGCUCAAAAAUAAAAUAUAUUAACGAAUAGCAAAUAAAUGAACUGUGUGGUCACCCUAGUUAAAUGGGAUUGGUGGGAGAGCUGAGUAAAGUGAAGAUUAGAGAACGGUACCCCACCUCUUACCUUAGGCAAACAGAGAGGCUGAGAGUUGUGAGCCUCUUAUAUUGACUGGGAUGUGUUGGUGACAUGCAUGAACUAAGUGCUUCAGGGACUUGUGUUUUCUGCAGCCUCACAGAUAUUUUCUUGUGGUCACAUGUUGUUCCUUCUCUGUCUGGUGCACCACUGAGUGUUAUAGUAAUCUUGGACUCAGAUCUCUGCCUUUCUCUCUGACCCAGUGCUUAAAUACCAGUUGUAUGCUCUUGAUAUCCCAAUCUAUAACUUUAGCCUAGACCUAUACAGAAACCCUCAGUUCUUCUAUCCACCUGCCUACUGGACAUCUUCUUGAAUAUGUCGUAGGCUUCUCAUCCUUGGCCAGAACAGAACUUUUGAUUCUCCACCACCGACACUUCCUCUCCAGUCUUCCCAGGCUCAAUUAGUGGAAUUACUCUUCACCAGGUGGGACUACCUUCGUCUCUUAUCUGGACUCCUGCAGUAGCUCACCAGCAGAUGCCGUCUGCUCUGCGAUCUUCCCUACAACCCCCCCGCAGCCUCUCGAACACGAAGAAACACUUUCACGGUCGCCUCUCUCUAUCCCUGCCCAUCAACUCCUGGCAACCACUAGUCAACUUUCUAUCUCUACAGAUUUGCUGUUCUGGACGUGUCAUGUAGAUGGAAUCAUACAACGUGUAUUCUUCUAUGUCUGGCUUCUUUCAGUUCGAAGCCAGUGACUUUAAGGUUUAUCCAUGUUGUAUACAUUAGUACUUCAUUUUUAUGUGUGAAUAAUAGUCUGUUCCAAAGACAACAGAACAUUAUUCACAGUUUAGAUAUCCGUCUUAUUUGGAAAUAUGUUUUCAGUUCUCUUAGGUAUGGUCCUCGGAGUGGACUUGAUGGGCCGCACGGUAACUCCAUCUUUAACUUUUUGAGGAACUGCCAGACUGUUUUCCAAAGUGGCUGCAUCAUUUGCAAUGACCUUUUAAGAAACUACACUUGUCCCCCCCCCCAAAAAAAAGAAACUACACCUGUCAAGUUUUGACGUAGUACUAAAGAAGAUUAUCUGUAAUUAUUUGACAACACCAUUAAACUAUCCCUCCCAUUUCCAAAGACACAUCUGCGGGAGGUAGAUUUUCUUCAUAUGCUUCAACCCAAACAACAUAUUGCAACAGAUUGACUGCAGAGGGUGAUGUGAGAACCCAGGUGUCUUCCAUUCUGCCAGACAUUAAAAGGGUUUGCAGAAACGUAAAAGCAUCUUCUCACCAAAUUUCUUUUUUGUUUUGAAGAUUUUUUUCAUAGACCAAAAACAAACAAACAAAAACCUGUUGACAUGUAAUAGGUUCAUUGUUAUUUUUAAAUGAAUAGAUAAUUUAAAGUAAUUUAAGAAUUUAUUUUUUUAAUUUCCGAUAUGAUAACUAUCAAUAGCCAUGAUCCUCAUGAACCACCAUAUCGAGAUUCUCCGUGUAAAGAAUAUAAAGGGUUCUCGGGACCCACCUCGGAGCCCAUUCUGGCUGAUGCCGUCCUAUAUGCACUUGAGUUUGCUUCUCUUGCUCUCUGCUCCCUGCAGUUCUGGUCGCUGGCACUCCUGUGCGACACGAGGCGAGUGUGCUUUGUUUUGCCUGGCCUCAGGUUUGUCACUUGUGGAACAGAGAUGCGGUAUAGAAUAUAUGGGGCGGGGGCGUGUGUGUUGGGACUGAAUUGAGAAGAGGCCACGAAAAAUUGUAAAGCUCGGUAUGGUCCCAAGCUCUGCCUCAAGUGAGAUCCUGAACUCGUGGAGCAAAUGCAGCUGCUGUUUUGCCGAGAGAAUAGCUGAUUAUCCUCUAUUGCUUUGAAUUCCUCUUUUCUGUGGUUUUCACGUUAAUUAAUGCUUUGGGGGAUAGUUUAAAUUGUAGCGAUAGAGAUGGGAGCUCAGGAGAAAUUAGUGACAAUGGUGGGAAUGCCAUUGGGGGAGAGGACUGGGUGCCGAGUGACUUGGGUGUGUUUAACAAAUGUUCAGUGAACCCCAGCUGUGCUCUAGGUGCUGUCUGCUAGGUGAUGAAGAUGGAGGGCGGGGUGGUAAGGCACAAAGCAGGCAAGGUCUUAUUCUCCGAGAGCCUGUAUUCUGCCAGGGAAUAAGGGAGCAGAAAUGGCAAAUGGCCAGAAAUGUUGCAGGCUUAUGAUAUGAAGAGAAAAAAAACAAGAUGUGGUAGAGCAACAAGGUGGGCCUAACCCUGUGGGGCAUUUGAGCUGAGACGGAAGGAUCCUUAGAGGUCCUCUUAUGUAAAUAAAUUUCUCCUAAUGUUCCAGUAGAGCAGUUCCUGAAAGUCCCGGGCUGUGUGCAUAACUCUUUGAAAAUAUGUUAACAUCUUUAGCUUUAACGUAAUUAAGUAUGUAAGUUGCAGUAGACUAAGAGUGUAAGUUCGAUACUUCUGAAGUGUCAUACAUCCUAAGAGCUGCUAAUCUGUUUUUGUUUUGUUGUUCACUGAUUAUCAAGAUAUAAAUAUUUUUCAGAAAGUUUGUCAAGUACUGCCCAGGGUAGAGGAGGAAAACAAUGACCUGUAAUUUCAUCAACCAUGGGACAUUGAUCUCAUUUGACCAUUAUGAUAACCUCUGAAAAACAGGACAGUUGUUGAAGUACUCCUUUUUAAUUCAGGCUAAGUAACAUAUGUUAGUAAUAAAAGCAUUACAGUAACUCCUUAUAAUUUA